This 662-nucleotide long non-coding RNA is filed under the name Ficedula albicollis (Collared flycatcher). RNAcentral's name for it is "lncRNA (ENSFALG00000024434.1)". The record is from RNAcentral. Lineage: Eukaryota; Metazoa; Chordata; Aves; Passeriformes; Muscicapidae.
CCUUCUUGGCUUACAGCACAGCUUACCUCUGUUGAGAUUACCACUGGGACAAAAGGCUGGAAAUGUUGCUCCAGGAUAAGGGUGGAUAAGGCAAAUAUGAACAUGCACAAACACACCCCCCCCCCAGUGGGGCAGGCAUAUAUAUAAGUGUGGUUGCCACCUUAGGACACAACCCAGGUUGAGUUUCCUGAGCAAAAGCCAAGCUCUGCUGCUCACAGCUCAUCCAGCCACCAUGAGGACCACGGGGUUGUUGCUGCUGAUCUCUCUGGCCCUUUUCUGCAUCUCAGUUCCAUCUACUGAUGCGCAGCAGCCUGCAUCCCUGUACUGCAGGAACCAGAGGACCUUCAGGAACAUGUGUACCAUGGAGUACAUGCCCCACUGUGGGUCUGAUGGUGUCACGUACUCCAACAAAUGCAUGUUCUGCAAUGCAUACCUGAGAAGCCGUGGAGGUCUUGGCUUGAGGUCUAUUAAUGCAUGUUAAGUUAUCAACAGGAUUCACCUGAGAAAGAGCAUCCCUCCCUGGCAAUGUUCCCCAUGGCAGAUGACUUCCUAAACCCUUGACCUGACCCUUGAAAACCUCUUAUCAAUCCUGAAACCUCUGCUAAUAAAAAAAAACCCACCCAGCAUUUAUGUCUUGCUUUAGUCUCAUUCUGGUUUUACCU